This 507-nucleotide ribosomal RNA is filed under the name Epicoccum sp. 629 AI-2013. RNAcentral's name for it is "eukaryotic LSU rRNA". The stretch from base 150 to 303 matches the Rfam family "5.8S ribosomal RNA". The record is from RNAcentral. Lineage: Eukaryota; Fungi; Ascomycota; Dothideomycetes; Pleosporales; Didymellaceae.
UCAUUACCUAGAGUUUGUAGACUUCGGUCUGCUACCUCUUACCCAUGUCUUUUGAGUACCUUCGUUUCCUCGGCGGGUCCGCCCGCCGAUUGGACAACAUUCAAACCCUUUGCAGUUGCAAUCAGCGUCUGAAAAAACAUAAUAGUUACAACUUUCAACAACGGAUCUCUUGGUUCUGGCAUCGAUGAAGAACGCAGCGAAAUGCGAUAAGUAGUGUGAAUUGCAGAAUUCAGUGAAUCAUCGAAUCUUUGAACGCACAUUGCGCCCCUUGGUAUUCCAUGGGGCAUGCCUGUUCGAGCGUCAUUUGUACCUUCAAGCUCUGCUUGGUGUUGGGUGUUUGUCUCGCCUCUGCGUGUAGACUCGCCUUAAAACAAUUGGCAGCCGGCGUAUUGAUUUCGGAGCGCAGUACAUCUCGCGCUUUGCACUCAUAACGACGACGUCCAAAAGUACAUUUUUACACUCUUGACCUCGGAUCAGGUAGGGAUACCCGCUGAACUUAAGCAUAUC